RNAcentral lists this ribosomal RNA (1332 nucleotides) under uncultured bacterium. RNAcentral describes it as "bacterial SSU rRNA". It matches the Rfam family "Bacterial small subunit ribosomal RNA", at positions 28 to 1381 of the family's 1533-position model. The record is from RNAcentral.
GACGAACGCUGGCGGCGCGCCUAACACAUGCAAGUCGAACGAGCGAGAGAGAGCUUGCUUUCUUGAGCGAGUGGCGAACGGGUGAGUAACGCGUGAGGAACCUGCCUCAAAGAGGGGGACAACAGUUGGAGACGACUGCUAAUACCGCAUAAGCCCACAGCUCGGCAUCGAGCAGAGGGAAAAGGAGCAAUCCGCUUUGAGAUGGCCUCGCGUCCGAUUAGCUAGUUGGUGAGGUAAUGGUCCACCAAGGCGACGAUCGGUAGCCGGACUGAGAGGUUGAACGGCCACAUUGGGACUGAGACACGGCCCAGACUCCUACGGGAGGCAGCAGUGGGGAAUAUUGCACAAUGGGGGAAACCCUGAUGCAGCGACGCCGCGUGGAGGAAGAAGGUCUUCGGAUUGUAAACUCCUGUUGUUGAGGAAGAUAAUGACGGUACUCAACAAGGAAGUGACGGCUAACUACGUGCCAGCAGCCGCGGUAAAACGUAGGUCACAAGCGUUGUCCGGAAUUACUGGGUGUAAAGGGAGCGCAGGCGGGAAGGCAAGUUGGAAGUGAAAUCCAUGGGCUCAACCCAUGAACUGCUUUCAAAACUGUUUUUCUUGAGUAGUGCAGAGGUAGGCGGAAUUCCCGGUGUAGCGGUGGAAUGCGUAGAUAUCGGGAGGAACACCAGUGGCGAAGGCGGCCUACUGGGCACCAACUGACGCUGAGGCUCGAAAGUGUGGGUAGCAAACAGGAUUAGAUACCCUGGUAGUCCACACUGUAAACGAUGAUUACUAGGUGUUGGAGGAUUGACCCCUUCAGUGCCGCAGUUAACACAAUAAGUAAUCCACCUGGGGAGUACGACCGCAAGGUUGAAACUCAAAGGAAUUGACGGGGGCCCGCACAAGCAGUGGAGUAUGUGGUUUAAUUCGACGCAACGCGAAGAACCUUACCAAGUCUUGACAUCCUGCGACGGUGCUGGAAACAGUACUUUCCUUCGGGACGCAGAGACAGGUGGUGCAUGGUUGUCGUCAGCUCGUGUCGUGAGAUGUUGGGUUAAGUCCCGCAACGAGCGCAACCCUUAUGGUCAGUUACUACGCAAGAGGACUUUGGCCAGACUGCCGUUGACAAAACGGAGGAAGGUGGGGAUGACGUCAAAUCAUCAUGCCCUUUAUGACUUGGGCUACACACGUACUACAAUGGCGUUAAACAAAGAGAAGCAAGACCGCGAGGUGGAGCAAAACUCAGAAACAACGUCCCAGUUCGGACUGCAGGCUGCAACUCGCCUGCACGAAGUCGGAAUUGCUAGUAAUCGCAGAUCAGCAUGCUGCGGUGAAUACGUUCCCGGGCCU